Long non-coding RNA from Zingiber officinale, 511 nucleotides. RefSeq lists it as uncharacterized. The record is from RefSeq and is a predicted model, not a curated record. Lineage: Eukaryota; Viridiplantae; Streptophyta; Magnoliopsida; Zingiberales; Zingiberaceae. The transcript has 2 exons.
GUGAUGCAAAUUAAAACCAAGCCGAGCAUAUAAAAUCCGUAGGUUAUUGUGCCGAGGCACUUUUCUCCCUUUCACGUGCGGCUUCCUACGAAGAAGAUGCCGCCUCUACCUCACCACCUUCGCCAGCGUGACGGAGCGACAAAAUCAGCUGCGUCCGAACUCCGGCCAGGCAUCGCACGGUGCAGAUCAUCUCCGGCAGAGGCAUCAAGGGAGGAAGGCAAGUACAUUUCAGUCACUUGGGUAUGAGAUUCGGAGAGUAGGUCUAAUUGAUAGGUGAGGGAGAUGUAUUCCAUGUUGGGAUGGAGGGAACGCAGACGGGGAACCCGAGAAGACUUGAUGGAUACACGAUACCAUCCAGAAGUUUCAAGAGUGCUCUGUAGGUCUUGGUUUGUUGAAAUAAAGUUAUUAUUGGUGAACAUGGUCAUACAUGUGUUUCACUUGUUUUCGUAUUUUUAGAUGGUGAUGUUUGUUUAUGCUAAGUAUGAUAUUAUAUGGUGAAGGAUUUGUUUGA